AGCGGGAGAUCCGAGCGUCUCGGCUGGUGGAAGGGGCGAGGAGCUUUGCAGUUGUGUGCGACUGUGUACAGGGACAGAGUCCUGAGCAAGGAAACCUAGAAGGGAGAGAGGAAUAACCAUGGAAUUGAGUCCUGUCUGGUAGCACUGACAGACACAGUGGCCAGCCACCCUCAUGCCACCCUGUCCUGCCAUGGGAAGGAACAGCAGCUCUAGAGUUCCUAUGGGAACUCUCUUUCCUUCUCACUGAACUCUAGCUUCAUCAAUAACUCAGUGCCUCUGGCCAAGUUUUUAGCCUCUGGGACAACAUCCACUAUAUCCAUAUGAGGCACUCAUGUAACACGGUGAUUAAGAGUACAGAUGCUGGAGCCAGCAGCCUAAGUCUGAAUCCUGACUGCCAAUUAUUAAUUUAAGUUGUGGAACCAUGGUCAAGUUACUCAACCUCUUUAUGCCUCUGUCUCCUGGUCUACGAAAUGAAGCUUUGAAUCUGCUGUUAUUAAGUUGCUGGUGCUGAAAUAACACUUAUUAUUUAUGGUCUAACUGAAAUGGGAACACUGGAAACUUCUUUGAAACUGAAGAAAAAAAUGAAAAAGAAGUUUUUACAAUCAAAACUGCCAUGAAGACUGCUUUACCCAAAAUUUUGGUCCACAGCUUUCAUUGAAUUACUUAUCAGGGCAAACAAAGUUUAGCCAUGUGAACACGUUCCAAUUUUGUUAGAAAUAAUUUGGAUCCAGCUAUCUUUAUACAAUGGUGAGUUCGUAUUGCAUCUCAUGGCUAAAAUACUGAGGUAAAGGCUUUUGGAUCUUUGUGUGUGUGUGUGUGCAUGUGACAAAAACAAGCAAUGGGGAAAGGAGUCCCUAUUUAAUAAAUGGUGUUGGGAGAACUGGCUAGCCAUAUGCAGAAAGUUGAAACUGGAGCCCCUCCUUAUACCAUAUACAAAAAUCAACUCAAGAUGAAUUAAAGACUUAAAUGUAAAAACCCAGACUAUAAAAACCCUAGAAGAAAAUCUAGGCAAUACCAUUCAGGACAUGGACACAGGCAAAUAUUUCAUGACAAAGAUGCCAAAAGCAGUAGCAACAAAAGCAAAAAUUGACAAAUGGAAUCUAAUUAAACUAAAGAGCUUCUGUACAGCAAAGAAAUUAUCAUCAGAGUGAACAGACAACUUACAGCAUGAGAGAAAAUUUUUGCAAUAUAUCCAUCUGACAAAGGUCUAAUAUCCAGCAUCUACAAGGAACUUAAACAAAUUUACAAGAAAAAAAAACAACGCCAUUAAAAAAUGGGCAAAGGACGUGGACAGACACUUCUCAAAAGAAGAAAUUUGUGUGGGCAAUGAACAUUUUUUUAAAAAAAGCUCAACACCACUAAUGAUUAGAGAAAUGCACAUGAAAACCACAAUGAGAUACCAUCUCACACCAGUCAGAAUGGCUAUUACUUAAAGGUCAAAAAACAACAGAUGAUAGCAAGGUUGUGAAGAAAAAUGAAUACUUUUAUACGUUGGUUGGAGUAUAAAUUAGUUCUACGCUUGUCGAAGACAGUGUGGUGAUUCCUCAAAGACCUAGGGGAAGAAAUAUCAUUUGACCCAGCAAUCUCAUUACUGGGUAUAUACCCAGAGGAAUAUAAAUCAUUCUAUUAUAAAGAUACAUGUGCAUGUUCAUUGCAAAAUAGCAAAAACAUGGAAUCAACCUAAAUGCUCAUCAAUGACAGACUUGAUAAAGGAAAUAUGGUACGUAUACACCAAGGAAUACCAUGCAGCCAUAAAAAGGAACAAGAUAAUGUGUUUUGCAGGGACCUGGAUGGAACCAGAAGCCAUUAUCCUCAGCAAAUUAAUGCAGGAACAGAAAAGCAAAUACCACAUGUUCUCACUUGUAAGUGGAAGCUGAAUGAUGAGAACACAUGGACACAUGGUGGGGAACAAUACACACUGGGGCCUGUUGCAGGGUGCGGAGUGGGAGGGAGAGCAUCGGGAAGAAUAGCUAAUGCAUGCUGGGCUUAAUACCUAGGGGAUGGAAUGAUCUGUGCAGCAAACCACUAUGGCACACAUUUACCUAUGUAACAAACCUACACAUCCUGCACAUGUACCUCUGACCUUAAAAUAAAAGUUGGAAAUAAAAAAAACCCUAAACAUACACCUAC
This 2130-nucleotide non-coding RNA is filed under the name Pan troglodytes (chimpanzee). The record is from RNAcentral. Lineage: Eukaryota; Metazoa; Chordata; Mammalia; Primates; Hominidae.